GAAUUAUUGCGAACGUACAUUGC
Molecule: non-coding RNA, 23 nt
Filed under: Arabidopsis thaliana (thale cress)
Lineage: Eukaryota; Viridiplantae; Streptophyta; Magnoliopsida; Brassicales; Brassicaceae
Source: RNAcentral